GUGGGGAAUAUUGGACAAUGGGCGAAAGCCUGAUCCAGCCAUGCCGCGUGUGUGAAGAAGGUCUUCGGAUUGUAAAGCACUUUAAGUUGGGAGGAAGGGCAGUAAGCUAAUACCUUGCUGUUUUGACGUUACCGACAGAAUAAGCACCGGCUAACUUCGUGCCAGCAGCCGCGGUAAUACGCAGGGUGCAAGCGUUAAUCGGAAUUACUGGGCGUAAAGCGCGCGUAGGUGGUUGUGUAAGUUGGAGGUGAAAUCUCCGGGCUCAACCUGGGAACUGCAUCUAAAACUGCAUGACUAGAGUACGGUAGAGGGUAGUGGAAUUUCCUGUGUAGCGGUGAAAUGCGUAGAUAUAGGAGGGAACACCAGUGGCGAAGGCGACUACCUGGACUGAUACUGACACUGAGGUGCGAAAGCGUGGGGAGCAAACAGGCUUAGAAACCCCAGUAGUCC
This 450-nucleotide ribosomal RNA is filed under the name uncultured bacterium. RNAcentral describes it as "partial 16S ribosomal RNA". It matches the Rfam family "Bacterial small subunit ribosomal RNA", at positions 354 to 796 of the family's 1533-position model. The record is from RNAcentral.